CUUCAGGACAGUUCUGGAAUAGAAAAGUAGUCUGGAACUUCUUGGCCCUGUGGAUAUGAGCCUCUGAGAAAGUAGCCUGUGCCUAUAUUCCACAAUCGUAGCUUUUAUCCACAUUGUGCCCCUGCUGCUUGAGUUCAGCGCUUAAAGAGCGUCAACAGAAUGUUAAGACCGAUUUGAUAUAGAAUUUCUACACACCCAGCAGUAUUGGACUUGUUGGUUGCAUUCAGCAUUGCGAUAUAUAAAAACAGCUGAUUCUAGCUUCUACAACACAAAACACAGCAUGGCAUAUUGUCCCAGUUAUAAAAAUUACAAACACCAACAAUUAAAUCCUAGGUCUUUCAACUCCGAAGGGGGCAAGCAUUCCCCACUCCCCACUAUCUGUUUUUGAUCAGUUUCAUUGUGUUGUGAUUGCAGCUUUUACUGAGUUGGAAAAGAUCAUUGAUGAAUAAAUAUGGAAGCUUUUACCAUG
Molecule: long non-coding RNA, 469 nt
Organism: Varanus komodoensis (Komodo dragon)
Lineage: Eukaryota; Metazoa; Chordata; Lepidosauria; Squamata; Varanidae
Exons: 3
Source: RefSeq, a predicted model, not a curated record